CCAAUAGCGUAUAUUAAAGUUGUUGCAGUUAAAAAGCUCGUAGUUGAAUUUCGGGGUUAGUAGGUCGGUCAUGCCACUGGUAUGUACUGGUCUCACUGAUUCCUCCUUCCUGAUGAACCGUAAUGCCAUUAAUUUGGUGUUGCGGGGAGACUGGACUGUUACUUUGAAAAAAUUAGAGUGUUUAAAGCAGGCUAACGCUUGAAUACAUUAGCAUGGAAUAAUGAACUAGGACGUUCGAUCCUAUUUUGUUGGUUUCUAGGAUUGACGUAAUGAUUAAUAGGGAUAGUUGGGGGCAUUAGUAUUCAAUUGUCAGAGGUGAAAUUCUUGGAUUUAUUGAAGACUAACUACUGCGAAAGCAUUUGCCAAGGAUGUUUUCAUUAAUCAAGAACGAAAGUUAGGGGAUCGAAGACGAUCAGAUACCGUCGUAGUCUUAACCAUAAACUAUGCCGACUAGGGAUCGGAUGAUGUUAAUUUUUUAAUGACUCAUUCGGCGCCUUACG
RNAcentral lists this ribosomal RNA (500 nucleotides) under uncultured Glomeromycotina. RNAcentral's name for it is "partial small subunit ribosomal RNA". It matches the Rfam family "Eukaryotic small subunit ribosomal RNA", at positions 591 to 1092 of the family's 1831-position model. The record is from RNAcentral. Lineage: Eukaryota; Fungi; Glomeromycota.